Molecule: long non-coding RNA, 2555 nt
Organism: Taeniopygia guttata (zebra finch)
Lineage: Eukaryota; Metazoa; Chordata; Aves; Passeriformes; Estrildidae
Source: Ensembl
UUGGGGGUUACUGGUUUAUACUGGGAGCACUGGGAGCCAAACUGGGUCGCACUGGGAGCCAUACUGGGAAUACUGGGAGAGGGUUUGGGGUCAUACUGGGAGCACUGGUUUGUACUGGGAGAGGGUUUGGGCCAUACUGGUCCAUACUGGGAGCACUGGGAGCCAAACUGGGAAUACUGGGAGAGGGUUGGGGCCAUACUGGGAGCACUGGUUUGUACUGGGAGAGGGUUUGGGUCAUACUGGUCCAUACUGGGAGCACUGGGAGGGGUCACUGGUCCAUACUGGGAGCACUGGGAACCAUACUGGGAAUACUGGGAGCACUGGGAGGGGUCACUGGUUCAUACUGGGAACACUGGGAGCCAUACUGGGAUUACUGGUUUGUACUGGGAGCACUGGGAGGGGGUUUGGGGUCAAACUGGGAGCGGUUACUGGUCCAUACUGGGAGCGCUGGGAGCCAAACUGGGAAUACUGGGAGAGGGUUGGGGUCAUACUGGUCCAUACUGGGAGCACUGGGAGCCAAACUGGUCCAUACUGGGAGCACUGGGAGGGGUCACUGGUCCAUACUGGGAGCACUGGGAGCCAUACUGGUCCAUACUGGGAGCACUGGGAGCUGUACUGGGAAUACUGGUUUGUACUGGGAGCACUGGGAGGGGGUUUGGGGUCAAACUGGGAGCACUGGGAGCGGUUACUGGUCCAUACUGGGAGCACUGGGAGGGGUCACUGGACCAUACUGGGAGCACUGGGAGCCAUACUGGGAGCACUGGGAGAGGGUUUGGGUCAUACUGGUCCAUACUGGGAGCACUGGGAGCCAUACUGGGAGCACUGGGAGCCAUACUGGUCCAUACUGGGAGCACUGGGUGGGGUCACUGGUUUAUACUGGGAGCACUGGGAGCCAUACUGGGAAUACUGGUUUGUACUGGGAGCACUGGGAGGGGGUUUGGGGUCAAACUGGGAGCACUGGGAGCAGUUACUGGUUCAUACUGGGAGCACUGGGAGCGGUUACUGGUUCAUACUGGGAGCACUGGGAGCCAAACUGGUCCAUACUGGGAGCACUGGGAGGGGUCACUGGUCCAUACUGGGAGCACUGGGAGGGGUCACUGGUCCAUACUGGGAACACUGGGAUGGGGUUUGGGGUCAUACUGGGAGCACUGGUUUGUACUGGGAGAGGGUUUGGGCCAUACUGGUCCAUACUGGGAACACUGAGAGGGGUCACUGGUCCAUACUGGGAGCACUGGGAGCCAAACUGGUCCAUACUGGGAGCACUGGGAGCCAAACUGGUCCAUACUGGGAACACUGGGAUGGGGUUUGGGGCCAUACUGGGAGCACUGGUUUGUACUGGGAGAGGGUUUGGGCCAUACUGGUCCAUACUGGGAGCACUGGGAGGGGUUGUUGGGAUAUACUGGGAGAUUUUGUACUGGUCUGUACUGGUUUAUACUGGUUUAUACUGGUCUGUACUGGUGUGAACUGGUUUAUACUGGUCUAUACUGGUUUAUACUGGUUUAUACCAGUUCAUACUGGUCUGUACUGGUUUAUACUGGUUUAUACUGGUCCAUACUGGUUUAUACUGGUGUGAACUGGUUUAUACUGGUGUGAACUGGUUUAUACUGGUUUAUACUGGUCCAUACUGGUUUAUACCAGUUCAUACUGGUUUAUACUGGUCCAUACUGGUCCAUACUGGUCCAUACCGGUCCAUACUGGUUUAUACUGGUUCAUACUGGUCCGUACUGGUCCAUACUGGUCCAUACUGGUUUAUACUGGUCCAUACUGGUUUAAACUGGUCCAUACUGGUCCAUACUGGUUUAUACUGGUCCAUACUGGUCCAUACCAGUCCAUACUGGUUUAUACUGGUUCAUACUGGUCCGUACUGGUCCAUACUGGUCCAUACUGGUUUAUACCGGUCCAUACUGGUCCAUACUGGUUUAUCCUGGUCCAUACUGGUCCAUACUGGUUUAUACCGGUCCAUACUGGUCCAUACUGGUUUAUCCUGGUCCAUACUGGUCCAUACUGGUCCAUACUGGUUUAUACCAGCUCAUACUGGUCCAUACUGGUUUAUACUGGUCCAUACUGGUUUAUACUGGUUUAAACUGGUCCAUACUGGUCCAUACUGGUUUAUCCUGGUCCAUACUGGUCCAUACUGGUCCAUACUGGUCCGUACUGGUCCAUACUGGUCCAUACUGGUCCAUACUGGUUUAUACUGGUCCAUACUGGUCCAUACUGGUCCAUACUGGUUUAAACUGGUCCGUACUGGUCCCCCAGGCCAUGCCCGACCCCCGCCUGGACCGGGGCCGCUUUCCCUCCCUCCGCCUCACGGGGGCGCCGCGGGCCCCGCCCCCCUCGGGCCGCCGCGCGGGGCUGUGGCGCCGCCUGGCGGCCGCGGGCGGGAACUGCGGCUGCUGCGGCUGCUGCGGGCGGAGCGGCGGCGGCGGCGGAGAGUGGGAACCGAUCCCGGGAGAGACGCCGGGACGGAGAACGGCGCAGCCAGUGCGGCCAGGUAAGGGUUAAACACCGGGGGGAUUUUGGGGGGGCUCCGGUAACGGAGAGGUGCGGCCAUGUUU